This 827-nucleotide ribosomal RNA is filed under the name Cladosporium sp. RNAcentral describes it as "partial large subunit ribosomal RNA". It matches the Rfam family "Eukaryotic large subunit ribosomal RNA", at positions 45 to 906 of the family's 3401-position model. Lineage: Eukaryota; Fungi; Ascomycota; Dothideomycetes; Cladosporiales; Cladosporiaceae. The record is from RNAcentral.
AAUCGGUAGCAGACAACAGGGAUUGCUCUAGUAACGGCGAGUGAAGCAGCAAUAGCUCAAAUUUGAAAUCUGGCGUCUUCGACGUCCGAGUUGUAAUUUGUAGAGGAUGCUUCUGAGUAACCACCGACCUAAGUUCCUUGGAACAGGACGUCAUAGAGGGUGAGAAUCCCGUAUGCGGUCGGAAAGGUGCUCUAUACGUAGCUCCUUCGACGAGUCGAGUUGUUUGGGAAUGCAGCUCUAAAUGGGAGGUAAAUUUCUUCUAAAGCUAAAUAUUGGCCAGAGACCGAUAGCGCACAAGUAGAGUGAUCGAAAGAUGAAAAGCACUUUGGAAAGAGAGUUAAAAAGCACGUGAAAUUGUUAAAAGGGAAGGGAUUGCAACCAGACUUGCUCGCGGUGUUCCGCCGGUCUUCUGACCGGUCUACUCGCCGCGUUGCAGGCCAGCAUCGUCUGGUGCCGCUGGAUAAGACUUGAGGAAUGUAGCUCCCUCGGGAGUGUUAUAGCCUCUUGUGAUGCAGCGAGCGCCGGGCGAGGUCCGCGCUUCGGCUAGGAUGCUGGCGUAAUGGUCGUAAUCCGCCCGUCUUGAAACACGGACCAAGGAGUCUAACAUCUAUGCGAGUGUUCGGGUGUCAAACCCCUACGCGUAAUGAAAGUGAACGGAGGUGAGAACCGCAAGGUGCAUCAUCGACCGAUCCUGAUGUCUUCGGAUGGAUUUGAGUAAGAGCAUAGCUGUUGGGACCCGAAAGAUGGUGAACUAUGCCUGAAUAGGGUGAAGCCAGAGGAAACUCUGGUGGAGGCUCGCAGCGGUUCUGACGUGCAAAUCGAUCGUC